UUCAGUCGCGCGCGAUCCUGUCGUUCCGACCUGCUGAGCUGCGCUUUUACCCGACUUUAAGCGAAUAGUCUACAUUAUCCGUCGUAGGGCGACAUGUGCGUCAAUCGUCAUAAGACCCCGUCGUAAGGCGAAUGCAUCAAAUUUCUGUUGAUGUUUUAAGAUUGUGACUAGAACCACUCAACACAUCUGUGACGAAGAGUGCUACUUCAUCACGGACGCACCGUUACACCUCACUGAGAUUAUCAGCAGUCUCAUUGAGGAACAACAAAGGCAAAAUCAGCGUCUGGAGGCCCUGCUACAAGAAGAGGCAAAGACCAAACAGAUGCUCCACAGAAUCAUCCAGCAAGUGGAAUCUAAAGAUUCCAAGAAAGCUGUCUCGCUAUCAGAGCAACAUCGCCAGAGGUUUCGCUCCUUGGCCCUCAGUGAGGUCGGCGACCUAUUUAAAUUUGUACAGCAGCUCCAAUUCCACUGUCAGAAGUGGUUGCUGGCUGAGGAUUGGGACUGUAGCAGGAUUGUGGAGCAGUUGGUAAUAGAGCAGUUUAUCAAGCAGCUUCCAGAAGAGACUGCCCACUGGGUUCAGCUCCACCAACCAGAAACACCAAAUGAGGCCAUUCAGUUGGCAGAGAACCACAGGGCAUCUCUCUCUCUCUCCCCUUCAACAUCUGCCUCAGUGGGAUGAUGCUUUGGGCACACUGUGUGAAGGACCUCCAAUCCUGAUAUUGCUCAACUUCCAGUUUCUUCAAUGUCUUCCAUCUGUAGUGCUGUGUUUCGCUGACUUCGCCCACAGCUGACAUCAUCAUGG
Molecule: long non-coding RNA, 802 nt
Organism: Pangasianodon hypophthalmus (striped catfish)
Lineage: Eukaryota; Metazoa; Chordata; Actinopteri; Siluriformes; Pangasiidae
Exons: 3
Source: RefSeq, a predicted model, not a curated record